Anopheles moucheti is the source of this 747-nucleotide long non-coding RNA. RefSeq lists it as uncharacterized. NCBI's taxonomy places the organism in Eukaryota, Metazoa, Arthropoda, Insecta, Diptera, Culicidae. The record is from RefSeq and is a predicted model, not a curated record. The transcript is spliced from 4 exons.
AACAAACUGAAUUUUUGAAACGAAUUCGCAAUAUGAAGCUCGUCUCGUCAUACAAGGAAAUACGGAUUCAAUUUGCUCUGCGCUCAAGUCCCUAUGUUCCUCUGGAGGGUCUCAAGCUAACGGCUUGGUAGCUCUGAAACCUGGAGUAUCCACUCCGUCCUGUUUUGCGUCCUGUCCGCCCGAGGGUUUUGGAUUACCUCGUACACCCACAUUCGAACAAUACAUUCGAAUCCAGACCCCAUUGCAGAGCAGUAGUGCGGGAUCAAUCCAUCGAUCUAAUGCAACGGAUAAUUUCAUCGAUGCAGAUUGUAAAAGUGAAACCAUCCUGGGCAAUGAAGAACAACGAAUCGUAAUAAUUUAAGAAGAAUGUUUCUCCUAGAAGAUAGAUUCAGAAAGUACAUAUCAUUCGAGAUAUUUACAAGCUGUUCGGUGGUAUCUGUUGCAAAGAGAGUGCUACGAGGCGUUGGAUAAUCGUUGAUUAGGAUACAACUUCGUUUUAUUUAGGCUAGGAGAUCGUAAUGUAGGGUUUAACGAAAAAGAUUAUUGUACAGAAUUAUUAAUGCAUAUUUCAGUAAGGGAUAACAUCUAUAUUAUUGCCUAACAUUCAAAACAAUCAUCUGCGCUACGUUAGGGUUUCAUCUGCGCUACGUAGAAUGUUUAAUCAAAAUUGAAAGAGCAACGAAAGCUUAGGAUUGUUGGCUUAAAUCGUCUUUCUUAGUAAAAUAGGUACGUUAUUAUAUUUCAUUA